GACGAACGCUGGCGGCGUGCUUAACACAUGCAAGUCGAACGGAAAGGCCCUGCUUUUGUGGGGUGCUCGAGUGGCGAACGGGUGAGUAACACGUGAGUAACCUGCCCUUGACUUUGGGAUAACUUCAGGAAACUGGGGCUAAUACCGGAUAGGAGCUCCUGCUGCAUGGUGGGGGUUGGAAAGUUUCGGCGGUUGGGGAUGGACUCGCGGCUUAUCAGCUUGUUGGUGGGGUAGUGGCUUACCAAGGCUUUGACGGGUAGCCGGCCUGGGAGGGUGACCGGCGACCUGGGGCCUGAGGGACGGACCAGAAGGCUACGGGAGGCAGCAGUGGGGAAUAUGGCAGAAUGGGCGGAAGCCUGAGGCAGCAACGCCGGGUGCGUGAUGACGGCCUUCGGGUGGAAAACCGCUUUCGCCUGUGACGAAGCGGGAGUGACGGUAAUGGGUAAAGAAGCACCGGCUAACUACGUG
RNAcentral lists this ribosomal RNA (468 nucleotides) under uncultured bacterium. RNAcentral's name for it is "partial 16S ribosomal RNA". It matches the Rfam family "Bacterial small subunit ribosomal RNA", at positions 28 to 507 of the family's 1533-position model. The record is from RNAcentral.